Molecule: small RNA, 68 nt
Filed under: Epilithonimonas hungarica
Lineage: Bacteria; Pseudomonadati; Bacteroidota; Flavobacteriia; Flavobacteriales; Weeksellaceae
Description: Chryseobacterium hungaricum Flavo-1 RNA
Rfam family: Flavo-1 RNA
Source: RNAcentral
CAAUAGCCCCGAUUGCAGUGGAAAUCCUUUUUCUUUGAAAAAGAUUGUAACGGAAAGCGGAAUCAAGC